GUGCCAGCCGCCGCGGUAAUACAGAGGUCCCAAGCGUUGUUCGGAUUCACUGGGCGUAAAGGGUGCGUAGGUGGCCAGGUAAGUUCGGUGUGAAAGCUCGGAGCUUAACUCCGAAAUGGCAUUGAAUACUAUCUGGCUAGAGGGUCGGAGGGGAGACUGGAAUUCUCGGUGUAGCAGUGAAAUGCGUAGAUAUCGAGAGGAACACCAGUGGCGAAGGCGAGUCUCUGGACGACACCUGACACUGAGGCACGAAAGCCAGGGGAGCAAACAGGAUUAGAUACCCCAGUAGUCC
Molecule: ribosomal RNA, 292 nt
Filed under: uncultured bacterium
Lineage: Bacteria
Description: partial 16S ribosomal RNA
Rfam family: Bacterial small subunit ribosomal RNA
Source: RNAcentral